GAGUUUGAUCCUGGCUCAGAACGAACGUUAGCGGCGCGCCUAACACAUGCAAGUCGCACGAGAAAGGGCUUCGGCCCCGGUACAGUGGCGCACGGGUGAGUAACACGUGGGUAAUCUGCCUUCGAGUGGGGGAUAACAUUCCGAAAGGAGUGCUAAUACCGCAUAAGACCACGCCCUCGAAAGAGGAAGCGGUCAAAGCUGGCCUCUAUACAUAAGCUAGCGCUUGAGAAUGAGCCCGCGGAGCAUCAGCUAGUUGGUGAGGUAAUGGCUCACCAAGGCUUAGACGCUUAGCUGGUCUGAGAGGAUGAUCAGCCACACUGGAACUGAGACACGGUCCAGACUCCUACGGGAGGCAGCAGUGGGGAAUCUUGCGCAAUGGGCGAAAGCCUGACGCAGCGACGCCGCGUGAGUGAUGAAGGCCUUCGGGUUGUAAAGCUCUGUGGGGAGAGAAGAAUAAGUGCGGGCUAAUACUCCGCAUGAUGACGGUAUCUCCUUAGCAAGCACCGGCUAACUCUGUGCCAGCAGCCGCGGUAAGACAGAGGGUGCAAACGUUGUUCGGAAUUACUGGGCGUAAAGCGAGUGUAGGCGGUUUGGUAAGUCGGAUGUGAA
RNAcentral lists this ribosomal RNA (609 nucleotides) under uncultured bacterium. Its description in RNAcentral is "bacterial SSU rRNA". It matches the Rfam family "Bacterial small subunit ribosomal RNA", at positions 9 to 598 of the family's 1533-position model. The record is from RNAcentral.